UAGGGAAUCUUCCACAAUGGACGGCAAGUCUGAUGGAGCAACGCCGCGUGAGUGAAGAAGGGUUUCGGCUCGUAAAGCUCUGUUGUUAAAGAAGAACGUGGGUAAGAGUAACUGUUUACCCAGUGACGGUAUUUAACCAGAAAGUCACGGCUAACUACGUGCUAG
This 165-nucleotide ribosomal RNA is filed under the name uncultured bacterium. RNAcentral's name for it is "partial 16S ribosomal RNA". It matches the Rfam family "Bacterial small subunit ribosomal RNA", at positions 355 to 511 of the family's 1533-position model. The record is from RNAcentral.